Trifolium pratense (red clover) is the source of this 398-nucleotide long non-coding RNA. RefSeq lists it as uncharacterized. The transcript is spliced from 2 exons. The record is from RefSeq and is a predicted model, not a curated record. NCBI's taxonomy places the organism in Eukaryota, Viridiplantae, Streptophyta, Magnoliopsida, Fabales, Fabaceae.
UUAACCCAUGUCCUCCAUAACAAGCUUAACCCACCAUGAACAAAUUGAAGGAACAAUAUUGGUUCACAAGUGUUAUAGAAACAAGGCAAGGGAAAUCAAUUCUUUCAACUCAUUUCCCUUUAUCUGUUAUGGAGAUAAACAACUUUUUAUAAGUAUUAAGGAUUUGAAGAGGAAUACGAAGCUUAAAGGUCUGGGUUUGGGUUUGAGGCUUAAAGCUUGGAAAGCUUACGUUUAUCACGUAGUUUUGUGCAACAUUAGUUCAGUUUGUGUAGGAAUGGUAUAGGAUGAGUUCCCCCUUAUCCAAAACUCAUCUUUAUGUUAAAUUCAUGUUUAGAAGUUGUAUUUUACGAAUGAGGUUGAUUGGGAAUGGAUUCAUACUAUUUUUUUACUUGCUAAAA